GAUGAACGCUGGCGGCGUGCUUAACACAUGCAAGUCGAACGAUGAAGCCCAGCUUGCUGGGUGGAUUAGUGGCGAACGGGUGAGUAACACGUGAGUAACCUGCCCUUAACUCUGGGAUAAGCCUGGGAAACUGGGUCUAAUACCGGAUAGGAGCGUCCACCGCAUGGUGGGUGUUGGAAAGAUUUAUCGGUUUUGGAUGGACUCGCGGCCUAUCAGCUUGUUGGUGAGGUAAUGGCUCACCAAGGCGACGACGGGUAGCCGGCCUGAGAGGGUGACCGGCCACACUGGGAAUGAGACACGGCCCAGACUCCUACGGGAGGCAGCAGUGGUGAAUAUUGCACAAUGGGCGAAAGCCUGAUGCAGCGACGCCGCGUGAGGGAUGACGGCCUUCGGGUUGUAAACCUCUUUCAGUAGGGAAGAAGCGAAAGUGACGGUACCUGCAGAAGAAGCACCGGCUAACUACGUGCCAGCAGCCGCCGUAA
RNAcentral lists this ribosomal RNA (482 nucleotides) under uncultured bacterium. RNAcentral describes it as "partial 16S ribosomal RNA". It matches the Rfam family "Bacterial small subunit ribosomal RNA", at positions 28 to 523 of the family's 1533-position model. The record is from RNAcentral.